This 2229-nucleotide long non-coding RNA is filed under the name Zea mays. RNAcentral's name for it is "long non-coding RNA (ZMAY_LNC002913)". The record is from RNAcentral. Lineage: Eukaryota; Viridiplantae; Streptophyta; Magnoliopsida; Poales; Poaceae.
UUUGGUAGCCUAGGAUCCCUAGAGGAUCCCGGCCCAUUCCCUGGCUAUAGAAACCGCGGGCCGAAUUGUCCACAGGGAAAAAAAAUAUUUGUUUGGUGAGCCACGCUCCCAUCCGGAUCCGCGGGGGAGGACGGCGAUUUCGUCCCCAGCCUCAUGAGGUCGGGAAGGGGUUCCCGCACCCACAUUUGUGAACCUCGCCGGCGCCCAUCCCCUGCCUUCACGAACCCGCCGCCGCCCGUCCCCUACUCUUCCUCGUGCACCCACCGUCGCUCGUCCCCUCGUCUUCCUUGCGCACUCGCCGUCGCCUCCUCCUCACCCUCACGCACUUGAGGCCAGCUGCAGAACGAGGUCGGACGGCGGAGACGAGGUCGAGGUCUACGACCUCCUCAACUUGCGCAAGACUGCCGAGACUGCAGGGACAAGCUCUUUGCUGCCUCGUCAGCUGCUAGCUGACUUCUCGUGAGUACUCCUUUUUUCUUUCAUUCUUGCCUUCACAUCCACCACCCGCGCCUUGCUGUAGCUUAGUCGUACGUCAUAGUUUGCUGUAUGAACACCAGAAGAAGAAGGUCGUGAACAGCAACACGUACACCUUCACGGCCACCAUCUUCCAUAUAUGCUGGUUUGAGUGGAAAGGAUGAUUAAUUUGCACGGUUGCUAUGCUAGCUUGGGAUUGAGAGAUGAAUGUCGAAUGCUUGCUGCUGAUGGAAUUAACUAGUUUGAUAUUUGUAGCAAGGCCCAGGAGCUAGCAAUGUAAGUAGGGUAGAACGUUGAGCUACCUGUGAAGUUCUAGUCUGAAUCUCAAGAACUUCUUUUGCCUUUGUUUGCAGGUUUGUAGUAUGUGAAUAUCUUAUUUGACAAAGUAAUUCUCUGAACUUUUUAUGCACUUUUUUACUGCAUAAGGCCUGAAUUUUUUACUGCCUUUGUUUGCUAUUUCAGUUUUUUUUUCUAGUAAAAUCUGCUAUUUAGUUACCUCUAUUAUUUAAUUGCUUAAAUCUGCUAUUUCAAUUUUGUUUCUAGUAAAAUCUGCCGAUAUUUGAGUUCAGCUAUUUAUGUUUACAUAAGCAAGUGCUUCAUAAACAUCUAAAUCCACACCUUUGUUCCAGUUCAGCAACGUCUUCUCUUUAUUACAGAUGUGCUGAUCCAAUUCAGUUUUCAGAGUAUGUUGACAAUCUGAAUUUAGUUCAAGCAAUACCUUCUCUUUAUUACAUAUGUUUAAGCAGGUGCUUCAUAAACAUCUGAAUUCAGUUCAUCAAUGUCUUCUCUUUAUUACUGAAUAUUGAAUUGAAUAUAAAGGCUUUCAUGUCCCCAAAUACAGAGAGUCUCCAAAUUGGAUAUUGAACUGAAUAUAGAGGAAUUGAAUAUAUAUACAUUUGUCUAAGUUUUCUCAUCAACAGGUGAUACACAAGGGUUUUUCAUCAACAAGUGGUCGCCAGAAGAACUGAAACAUCAAGAUGGCGUUUGCUUUUAGGUCAUGCCAUUCAGGAGAUGAUGCUAAGCUAAAUAAUCACAUCUAUGUGUACACUGAGACUGUUUUAUUAUGAGACUAUGUUUUAUUAUGAUGCACUGAGACUAUGUUUGUGUACACUGAGACUGUUUUAUUAUGAUGCACUGAGACUGUUUUAUUAAGCAGUGUGGAGUUCUCGGCUGCUGUUCUCAUUUUUAAUGCAAGUGUGUUCAAUGAGCAGUGUUCAAUGACAAACAGUGUUCUCAGCUGCUGCUCAUUUUUAUGCAAACAUUUGUGUCAUAGUUCUCAGGUUGACAAAUAUUUUUAUGCAAGUAUGUUCAAUGAGCAGUGUGGUGUUCAAUGAGUAGUGUGCUGAAAUAACACACCUGCUGAAAGAGCGGUGUGGAGUUUCCUGCUGGCCGCCAAAGAGCAGCAGGGGAAGGAGCCCCGUCCGGGUUGACCUGCCCAGGGAAUCUGGAUAACAGGGAUUAUGGCCCCUAGGUGCUCACUCCCCUGGGUUAUCCUCCCUAGCUGCCAAAGGAGCCCUACGUGUCCUCUACUGCGAGAUAGUCACGUGGGCCACCACCACUUUCUUCACGCCUUCUUCACUCGUUUAUAAAUUAGAGUCAACGGACAUUCCUACGGUUUGCCGUCGAGUGUUUUGCUAGCGUUUAUUUCUCCACCGGUUUCCACGAGUGAAGAAAUUAGAAUCCCCUAUCUCCUUUGCAUUGCAUCCUACUGCGUACCAUUUUUCCACGGCGCUCCAGUGUCCUAGUUUGGCCGGC